Long non-coding RNA from Prinia subflava (tawny-flanked prinia), 6338 nucleotides. RefSeq lists it as uncharacterized. The transcript has 3 exons. The record is from RefSeq and is a predicted model, not a curated record. NCBI's taxonomy places the organism in Eukaryota, Metazoa, Chordata, Aves, Passeriformes, Cisticolidae.
CAGAGACACUCAUGCACACACACAAAAAGCCAGCGAAUAAUUUUUGCUGCUAUUUUUUAAUAGUGGCCGCCAUCAUCAGCAGCAACAGAGGAGAGCAAAUCGGACAGGCCCCUCUUAAGAGAGGAUUUAUAUAUAGAGGAUCUCCUCCAAGAUUAAAGCUAGUCCUAAGAGCAACCGAAUUGCUGUGACUGACUUUCACGGGACUGUAAAGAGAGGAGUCUCUGUAGAUCUCAGCUCUCUUGACUAAGAAAUUCUGAGAAAACAGACUAAAAUCAAUGCUGAAAAAAAGCAGCUGAAGUCUUUUGCAGUGUUCAAUGCUGCUCCUUUCAAUUGUUUAUUUUUUUCCUCCCCUCCUAAACUAAUUAACCCCCUGCGUUGUCUUGCCCUGCUGUGCAUGUUUGUAAUCUGGGACAGGGACCAACUUUUGAAAAUUAUUUUAACUUGAUAGAAAGUGAAAUUUCAUAUAGUAAAUGAAGAUCUUUCAUGUUUCUCCUGUGUCUUUUUUUUUUUCCACGUGAAAAGAGUUGAAGCCCUUUUCCUCAUCACUAUCCCAGUGGAUUAAAGCACACAGAGAACGCGGUUUAUAAAGCGCUACAGUUUGGCCAUUAAAAAGGGAUCUCAAUUUAGCGCCCUUAAGUGAAUGUACUCAUCUAUUAACAAAGAUGCUGUUGGGAGCUCAGAGGAAAAUGGGAUACGUACGUGCAGAGGGUGAGAGCUUUCACAUACUUAGGUGAUUUUUUAUUUAACCCCCUCCGUCGUCCCCCCCCCAACUGGUGACAUUUCUUUAAAAAAAAAAAAAAAAAAAAAAAAAAAAAAAAAAAAAAGGUAAUUCGGAAAAAUUAAAAUGGCUAAUUUCCAUUUCUCCUGCAUCACUUCUAGAACAAGGGCUGUUUUCAGGAAAAGUGUGAGAUAAAAGUCGGGGUGGUGUCUGGGUUGGUUUUCCUUUUUUUUUCUUUUUUUUUCUUUUUUUUUUAAUACAUCGACUAAAAAGUCCAAAGAGAAAUGAGGUGUCCGGUAUGGAAGUGCAUCUCAGUCAACCGCCAGCUCCUUUUGCCGAGGCUGGAAAUGGUUUUAACAGGCGGUAAAAUUUCAUCUUGUGGUGUCAAAUUGGGGUCAGUUUGGGGUUAGCGCUCUCAGUGUCCGAGCAGGAGCUGUCCAGCUGUGUGGGGAUUCAUUAAGGGCAAAAGAUCCGUUUCAAGAAAAACAAUACAAAGACAAUCAGAGGGCUAAAGAUCCUCUUCAAAUCGCAUUUUACAAGUGCACCAGAACAAAUAUGGAUGCUGAAACCUAUUCCCUUCAAACUCCCAAAUCGGCUUCUUAGCCCUCGGAGGGAGCGAGAGAAAAUCCCCUAAAAGUUAGGAAGAGUCUGUUUUCAAUCAGCCUUUCCGAAGUGUGGCAUCUUAGUCCUUUGCUGGCUUUGAGACAUGCCUCUCUUGCUUGCUGGUUACAUCUCUCCCUCCCUCCCUCUCUCUCUCUCUCUUUUUCCACAGCCUUGCAAAAGCGGAUGGAACAACAGGUAAUAUUUCAGAUUUCAAGAAUAAAUCCCACCGGAGACCUUAAACUGCUGUUUUGCACGCGCGUGUGCUCCUAGCACAAGAUUUAAUGCAAAUAGAAAGUUUUUAGGGGGAAACAAGCCAUGCUUGCACGAAAUCCUAUUGGACCCUGUUGGAAAUUCUGAGCUCUCCUUGUAGGUGAUCCUCCAGUCCGAUGGGUAAUUUAGGCUAGAUUUACUUUCCAGUUCCUAGCAUUUGUGGAAAGCACCUAUUGCUAAUCUGGUUUAUUAAAUUCGCAUGGCUUAAAUCCUCUUAACGUCCCUACAUCUGUUAGGACAAUUGACGCCUUGCUACAGGGACAAAUAACUUGAACCUUAAUCUUGUUUGUAACUUCAUUCAAUGUUUGUUUGUUUGCGUGCUGAGUUCAAGUAUUUUGGAUGAUGCCAUUGUGUUCGGUAACACAUAGACUGCAUUUAAAAGCAAAACUCCUCUUAGACGGGUCAAGGAUAUCGUGGAACAACGCGAAAAAUUUAGCAUAUUCGAACUGGCUUUUUAUCUCGAACUAUCAUUCUAGGCAAUGUGUCGUAAUUAAUGAAGAAAGCAAUAUGCCUGUUAAAAUGUGGAUGCGGGACAUUACCGUGACACCGUAGUGAAAUUCACGUCAAUUUUACUUUUUGUUUUGCUUGCAAGGCGAAGUGUGGAGUUUAAAUAGUACCUUUUUCUUUUUAUAAUCGGGACUGUGCCACAGUUAAAUUCCUACCCCCAAACCCACUCUUUGCCACACUCUCCUUUGCCCUUACGGUUGCUUUUUACAACUUCAGUCACUUUUUAUUCGUCUCAGCACUCUUUGAUUCGCCUCCGACUUCCCGCAGCUGCAAGACUUUCGAGGUCCCAUCUCGGGUGCCCCUGUGAAAUCACGCACGUUUUAGCUUCUGCAGAUCACUGGGUUCAUUUAGCUCCUCACCCUGAUCCCCCCGCCUGCCACUAGUGUACUUCGCUUUUCAGUAAUGUAUUAUUAUUUGCCGAAAAUCUUUCUAGUCCUGAAAGUCAAUUGUAGCCCAUCACGGUGAACUUUUCUUGACCUCGACUGCGGUGUGACUGAGAUCUUUGGGAGCCGGAUUAGGAGGAGGUUCAUUUACUUACCUGUUAACUUCGCUCUUUACUCUUUCUUUCACCCCGUCCGCCCUCUUUGUUUUUAGAGGGAAAAACCCCAACCCUGCACGAAACAGGAGGGAUGCGGGGUCGUCCUGGCCUGCCGCCCCCUUUGUGGCGGUGUGUGCCCGGGGCGCGGGCUGCAUCCCGGCUCUGUCGGGCCGCCCCGGCCGCGCUGCCAUCGGCAGCGCUCUAGCGCUAUCUGGCGGGGCUCCAGCAGCGCUCCGCCGAGCCGCGCUCCGCCGGCCCGGCCCGGCCCGCCGCCCGCGGGGCUCGCUCCGCCGCCGCGGGGCCCCGGCCCAGCCGCUCCCGCGGGACGUACAUGUGGCCCAGCCCCGCGUUCCAUCCCCCAGGGGCGACACCCGCCGUGGGAAGGGGCAGAGAGAUGAACCCCUUCGCCUUUGUCCGGUUUAUCUCACGCGGGUAGGUGUGAAGCACUAAAGUCAGACAAGAGAUGCUAUUUUUUUUUUUCCUAACUUUUUAUUUUAUUUAGGCUAGAAUGUUUGUAAAAGUGGAGACCAUAACACCGACAUGUGUAUUUCCAUCACACACCAGAGGGAAAAAAAAAGAAGAAAAAAAAUAAGAAAAAAAAAGAAAAAAAGAAAACAACCACAAACCUGUCAGGGCUUCCCACUUAACAGUGCUUGCACUGGGUAGUUAAAAAUCUAGUUUGCAAUUGUUCGAAGAAGCCCGAAGCAUGAAAAAAAAAUUAAUCUUUCCAGUAUGGCAUGGUAACCAAGAGGACAGUUAGGGCAAACUAAAUGGCUUUAGUGUGGUAUCAGAGAAGCCGCAAAGGCUUCAAACUCUGCUCAGAGCUCUGCUCUAGCUCACUCAAAAUAUCCCCUUUUGUUCUCCAGCUGCCUAUAAAACUCCAGAAGAGGAGCGCUCUCAUUUUUACACUGGAGUUCUCGGUCCGGAGAGAACAAUAUACUCCUACCUCUUUUGAAAUGAUCCGGAGACUCUCACAACACGCAGGCAAUCACUCGAAGCACGAAAUUCCCCUUUUUUUUUUUUUUUUUUUUCCCCAAGAACUGCUCAGCCCAUUGUUUGAAGUGGGAUUCAGUGCACAGCCCAAAGAGAAAAGGGAAAGAAAAUCUUGAGAGCCCGGUUUGGUAUUGCACAGAGAGAGAGCUGACAAAAUAUUAUAGUGUGUUUCCUAGAAGUACAUGGUGAGAGCCGGCGGUGUGUUCCCGAAAAGAGGUUGCUUUUUAUUUCCACCACCACCCCCCCAAGAUUGUGAUUGUCUUUGUAUGUCUUUCUUUUGAUCCCACAAAGAGAAUGCAAUAUACAUAUAUGUGUUUGCUCUCCCCGCAAGAAAUGCCAUACAAUGGAAUAUGCGGCCGGUUAGUCCUCAUAAUGCUUAGUUUUGCUGUAAUUAAUUGAAAACAGUUAUUAGGUCGUCACUGGCAAUAGCGUAAAUAAUUGCAGCAGAUUUUUACUUAAAAUUGACCGGUCAUAGAGUGAUAGAUCGAUUCGAGGUAUAAAAAUGAUGUAUCAAAACAUCAAUGUCGAUUAUUUGAAAUAUUGUAGUCGAAUCUUUUUAUUGCUUCAUCGGUUAAGUGUCUGAAAGUGCUGUGUUCCAACAUAUAUUUAUGUUGUCAAUACUGUCAAAACUGUCAGUUUUAUUACAGUGGAUUUGUAAUACAUUUCGGAUUUGCUCAUUUACAUAAAAUGUCCACCUCAGAUACCCCUCCUUUUCUCCAUCUCUGGAAAUCUGUGUCAGUUUAAUGAAAGGAUUCAAGACUCAUACCUGAAGAGGAAAAAAAAAAAAAAAAAAAAAAAGGAAAGGCAAAAAAAUAGGAAAAAAAAAAAAAAAAAAGAGAAGGAGGUAUUGCUCCAUUAUGUCCAAUUUUAACAUCCAUUUGGAAAGCUCAGGCUAUUUCUGACUCGCCAAAAGAGGGAAUUCCUACCCCCUCCCUCCCCUGGCCCCGCUUAUUUUCCCAGUAGAAUUUAAACACUUUUCUACUCUCACACCUAGAUUAAACUCUCCAGGAGAAUUGAGAAAUUGUACAGGGAUGCAGUAACAAGCCAUAGCACACCUGCGAGUGCCGCAACCUUCCUAAAGAGAGCAACAACCCCCCGAACCAUGCACACACGCGCAUGGUUUUGAAUCCUGCUAGAAAGAAGGAGACAAAAGGAGCAAUAAAUAUGUGUGUGAUCCUUUCCUAACGAUUUGGAGCCCAAAGGAAAAAAGCAAACUCUAAGCAAUAUUGGGCAUUUGAUGGCCCCCGCCCCUAUUUUAUCAGGGUCUGAUCGAUGUGAUUAUUCCCUUUAACUGUAAGCAGUGGUUUUUUAUUAGCAUGAUCUCAGGCAACUCUCUAAUUUUCUCCAAGAGCCCAGCUGAAGGAUGGAGAAAUUCAGGAAUAAAUAAAGAAAUCCAUUUGCACUAUAAACUUUCUUCGAUAGAACAAACAGUGAAAUUAGGCAGAUAACUUUAUUCCCCACCCCUUUCCGAGGAUGAGGGUGUUUCAAAGGUGUUGGUGAGAUGGACCUGAGGGGUGUGUGUGUGUUGGUCUCCUUCCCCCUUCCUCCAACCCCCCAUCCCUCCCCCCCUCCCGGGAUAUCUAUGUUUAAAUAGAUGCUGAAGAGAUUUCUGAGUUCACGGGAAAGAAGGAAUGUUAGUUAAGGGAAUGGCAGCGCGCCUGGCAGGUAUUUUAAUGACUGUCCCUUCCUUUGAACACUUUCAAUUUCUCUGCUUCUUGUGCAGAAUAUGUUUCCCAAACCAAGUAUGAUUUCUUUUGUAACUCUCGUGUGUGUUUGUGAUCCCUUCUGAGGUAAAUUGAGAAGUACGCUGCGCAAAAGGAGGAAAUCGCCCCUGGGGUGCUUUGUUUACUUUGGUUUGUAAAAUCCUGCUAGGAGAUGGUUUCCUCAGUGUGUGGCAAGUGUUUCUUCAAGAAAUUCAUCAGCCCUUCUACAAUUACUUCGAGCUCCGAGGGAAGAAAGCUGCCAUCACUUUCUCACAUCCCAAGGUGUUGCACGGGGGAGAGAAGAAAAGGCUGGAGCAUUUAAUUAUAAUGGGGAGGGGUAGGGGGUGGGGAGAACGGAGGCUGCAGAAACCCGUCCCAAGCCUGUACCUGGAAAAGAAAAACCUGCAAGGGUAUAUUUGGAAAGCGUGUGCCAUUUAGGCAUGGGAAAAGUACCCCGUCUUGUGCAGUAAUUAGUCUGAACAAUAAACAUAAUUGGAACAAAAUCAGUUGGAAGUUUCUGCGUUUUUAAUUACGUUUCAUUUUGUGGUAAGCCGUAAAAUUAUGAAUGCCUCUCAAUUAAACACUAUCCACUUGUAAAGCAUUUAACAACAAUUAUUCCUUAAUCAGUUGGAAUGUUAGCCACAAAUGAUGCUGUUAAACAUCAAAGGGACGCCUUAGACGUUACCUUUUAGUCAUAAGUAAGAGGAUUAAUUUCUAUAAUUAGAGGGGAUAAAUAUGUGCAUAAAUAAAUCUAUUUUUUUACAUGUUCUCAUACUGUCUGGGAGAGGCGAGGAUCUUUGACACUGCUCGCACUCGCAGCUUGCCCCGGUCGGAGGGGAGCCGGGAGCAGCGACGUGAGAAGAGCCCUGCGGGGAGCCCCGCUCCUGCGCGCAGCUCCUCCGGCGCCGGCCCGUCCCCCGCGGCCGCACCGCGGCUGGGCUGGCCUGCGCUUCGUGCCCACCACGGACAAGGGCUUCGGGGGAAUUUACUCCCCUGCUCGGUUUUU